CAUGUGGGGAAGGAUGAGAAGCUUCGACUAAGGUUCGAUUCGAGCGCAGCGAGAAAGCGUUGCCGCAGGCAACGACCCGAAGGGCGAAGCGCGCAGCGCUGAGUAAUCCUUCCCCUACCACCA
RNAcentral lists this small RNA (123 nucleotides) under Salmonella enterica subsp. enterica. RNAcentral's name for it is "partial RtT sRNA". It matches the Rfam family "RtT RNA". From Rfam's summary of the family: This family represents a bacterial cis-regulatory element known as RtT RNA. The exact function of RtT is unknown although it is thought that it may be involved in changing the cellular response in relation to amino acid starvation. The record is from RNAcentral. Lineage: Bacteria; Pseudomonadati; Pseudomonadota; Gammaproteobacteria; Enterobacterales; Enterobacteriaceae.